Papaver somniferum (opium poppy) is the source of this 325-nucleotide long non-coding RNA. RefSeq lists it as uncharacterized. NCBI's taxonomy places the organism in Eukaryota, Viridiplantae, Streptophyta, Magnoliopsida, Ranunculales, Papaveraceae. The record is from RefSeq and is a predicted model, not a curated record. The transcript has 3 exons.
AGGAUGAGGGCUUACUGUCUUGGACGAAACUGAAGAUGCACUUUUAUGUUUUGGGUUAUAUGGAAAACCAAUACAUUUCAGGUAGUUUCCUUGAAAAGUCUUAGUGUAAGAUCUGGAAUACAUGCGUCACGCAGUUGAAGUUGUGCCAGGUUGCAGAUAACUUCAUAAAAGCUGGUGGCUUAUUUGUGGUGGUGGAGGUGCAGGUUUUGGAGGAGGAUGAGGAGGCAGUGGUGGUGGCUAGCAGCGGUUGUUGGGCCUAGACAGAUGCAUGUAACUCUCAAUUACACAAGAUAGAUGCAUAUGUAACUACCAAUUACACUAGACA